UGAAAUUGCAUGGAAAUGACGUUUAUAGCUCAGGGUUGGCUACGAGAAAUGACAUAUGUUUUGAUAAAACGAAUAUAUGCGCAAUCUGAGAUUGUGCAUCGUGUACGGUAAUACGGUGAAAAAUGUAUGGGAUUUGACAUGUAUGUAUGUAUGUAUGGGAUUUGACAUGUACAAAAAUGUAUGGGCUACGUGGAACUCAAGUCCAAGGUGUUAUAAAUGACAAGGUGAAGUUGUUCAGAGCAAAAUGACAUUUCUCGACUUGACAUUUCUCUUCCGGGGGCUCCGGUAUAAAAAUCGGGGAGGGCUGUGUAGAGAAUAGAAUAAGAAAUAAUAAAAAUAUAGAAGAUCGAUGUAUAGGCAAGUGUCAAAAUGAUAAGCAACCUAGGACGAGAGACGGAGCCAGAGAAAGGAAGCACAAAGUACAGAGAAACGAGAGCGGCAGAGAAACGAGAGCGGGAGAGAAACGAAUUGGAGCGAUGACCACGAGAGACGAACGAAAAUCGGAGAGAGCUUUGGGGACGACGGAGAGAGAGAACGACACAGCGAUCAGUUUUUGGACAAAUGUUGACGAGAGCGGUCAUGAAGCACCAAGCAUCCUAAGCAUCUGAAGCACGAGACAGCAGUAAAAAAAAGAGAUAAUAAUAAAAAAAGUAAAAUGAAAAAAGCAAAUGUUGUAAUUGGCGAAGAAAGUGGCGGAUAUCACGACAAUGGCGCAAACCACGCUCCCAGAUCGUAAAUAUAAAACGUUUUGUGGAUUGAGAGCAGUGCAUUGCGGGAAUGGGCUGAAAAUGUUGAUAAAUGAAGUGAAGUACGUCAUGUCGGUUGCAAAAGACAUUCAGUAAAUGUGCUUUAUUGUGUAUAAACGAGCGAUGCAUGUUGAGGAUGAACAGAAGCGAUAUUGAACACGGAUCGGUGUUUCUAACCGAAGACAGAGGAUUUGUAAAGAAAAAUAUAUACCGACAAGUGUGCGUGCAUUGUGUGGAGAACGGGCCUAUUCACGCGGAAACAAUGCUUACCACAGUUGUAUGACCAUUUCCCGGGAAUUUGCAUUCUUGUUCGAGCACGAUACCAGAGGAAGCCCAAUAAAGGAAACAAGUUACGGAAGACGCUAAAGUUGGAGAGAAAAAGAAAUAUGCUAUUAGUCGCUAAACUCCAGAAGAUGAAGUUUAAGAACAAUCGACUGCAGAGGGCUAUGCCGUUUGAGGAAAGCAUUGACAUGGAACCACGACACUCGACCGCAAUUGACAUAGCGAUCAAUGGCAUUUCUGAAUUGAGGUAUAUUACAUGGAAACACAGAUCUGAUAAUUUUGAUGAUUAUUUCAGGUUGUCGAACAGAUGGCAGUAACUAUAAAUGGUGGUCACGAAACGAUAAUACCUAGUGGAUACAUCGUCGGUCGUAUAGCAAAUUCUACGUCGGUGGUUUUUCUGAUCGAUUCAGGAGCAGAGGUCAACACCGUUUACGAAAGUACCUUUGAUAAGCUUUAUAAUGAUGAAACUUCCAAGAAACAUAUAUAUUGUGUAUCAGAAGGUACCGAUAAACCGCUUCGCGCGUACGCCAGCCCGGGCAAGAUAAACGUUGUAGGAACUUUCGUUACGGAGCUUUUUAUUUCCGAGGAAAGGCCGUGUUUUUUCGAAAAAUUUUAUGUUAUCAAAGGCGGAAAGCGUUUACUUGGAAGGGAUACAGCCUUCGGUACAGUGUGUUGCAGUUAGGACUCAACGUCGUAGUCGAUCGUGGGGACGAUUACCAAGGUAGUGUUGUUAGAUUUCCAGGUGAAAUUUUAGCAGUAGCGACAAAGAAAGAAUUCCCAAAAUUCAAUGUUCCCCCGGUAAUUUUGUCGUAAUAUUUACGAACAUUCCAUUGCCAUUUCGAGAGGAGACCGAACGUAGACUACAGGACCUUUUAGAUACAGGGAUUAUGGAGCACGUUACAGAUUCAACGGAUAGGUCAUUCUUCUCUUUUUUACUAGUCGUCCCAAAAGGUAAAGACGAUAUACAACUAGUAGUGGAUCUAAGGGGCCCUAAUAAAUGUAUUAUAAGCACGCCUUUUAGAAUGCCAAAUUUGGAGGAAAUUCUGGCCGACCUUCAUGGUGCCAAAUAUUUUUCUACUAUCGACCAUACAAGUGCGCUCUUCCAUGUAGAAAACGCAAAACAAUCGCGGCAUCUAACAAAUUUUUUUGCCGGAAAUGCUACUUACCGGUUCAAACGUCUACCAUUUGGUUUGUUCAACGCCCCUGAAAUCUUUCAGGAAAUAUUACAAACAAAAAUAUUGUUGGGCUGUAGUGGACAAAAUGUUACUUGCAUGAUAUUUUGAUACACGGAAAAACGAAAGAAGAACAUGAUAAAAACAUGAAAGCAGUUCUGGAUCGACUACAAAAUCAUAAUGUACGUAUUAAGGACGACAAAUGCGUCUUCGAAAAAACCAAGUUAAGUUUGUAGGAUUUUUUAUGUCAGACAAGGGAAUGCGUGUCGAAGACGAAAAACUAAAAGCAGUUAGGAACUUCCGUCGACCGGAGACUGUGCUCGAAGUGAAAAGUUUCUUAGGAUUUAUGAAUUUUUCAGAGCGUUUUAUUUACAUGCGAGCAGACAAGACAAAACAUUUACGCGAGCUAGCAAAGUCGGAAUCAUUUUACUGGACAGAAUCAGAGGAGGAUGAAUAUGUUUACCUCAAGCACGAAGCGUUGAAGUCAAUUUCUAGAUUAGGAUACUUUAGCUACAAAGAUGAGACUGAGCUCUACGUAGACACUUCUCCGGUGGGUUUAGGAGCGGCCCUGGUGCAAUUCGAUACUGAUAGUAAGUCACGAAUAAUUGCAUGCGCAUCAAAAGCUUUAACUAGAACCGAACAAAAGUAUCCUCAUAGACAGAGAGAGGCAUUGGCGAUAGUUUGGGGAGUAGAGCGAUUCUCAUUCUAUUUAACAAGCAAAACGUUUACCAUUCGACGAAGAUGACGAAAAACAUGUUCUGUAUACUUUAGGGGGAGGUCUUAUUAGCGUUUCUUGGAGGGAAAUCGAGGAGGCGUCAGAAAGGGACUUGGAACUUGACGCAGUAAGAAUAGCUAUUAGAUCUGGAAGUUGGCCUGACAAUUUUCGAAGAUACGAAGCAGCAAGGAAAUCCAUUCGUUCUCUGGGAUCAUUGAUCUUCAAGGACGAUAAGGUAAUACCACCAACUGAUUUAAGAUCAGAAAUAAUGCAAAUUGCUCAUAAAGGUCAUAUAGGUAUCUCGGCUAUGAAUUGCAUUUUGAGAGAAUAUUUUUGGUGGCCUAACAUCAACCCACCGGUACCUCUUACGAAUCGUACAUUGCCUGACGGCCCUUGGCAAGUCCUCCAAAUCGAUUUUUUAUCAAUUCCUGGUUGUGGAACAGGCGAGUUUUUAGUAGUUGUCGAUACUUACUCAAGAUAUAAAGCCGUAAAUGAGAUGAAUAACAUAGACGCUAAGAGUACCAUUAUGGCCUUAAACAAAAUAUUUACUAUCUGGGGUUUACCUCUAACUAUUCAGAGCGAUAAUGGACCACCGUUUCAAAGUAGUGAAUUUACUCUUUACUGGGAAGAAAAAGGCGUAAAAUUUUACAAAUCUAUACCCCUUAAUCCAAAAAUCUAACGGAGCCGUCGAAAGACAAAAUCAGGGAAUGAUCAAGGCGCUUGCAGCAGCAAACAUGAAGGAGGCAGUUGGAAGGAAGCCCUAAACUCUUACGUACAUGUACAUAAUAACAUGAAACCACACGCCCGUCUAGGUAUAACACCUUUCGAGAUAUUAGUAGGAUGGCGAUA
Anopheles arabiensis is the source of this 3764-nucleotide long non-coding RNA. RefSeq lists it as uncharacterized. Lineage: Eukaryota; Metazoa; Arthropoda; Insecta; Diptera; Culicidae. The transcript has 2 exons. The record is from RefSeq and is a predicted model, not a curated record.